This 305-nucleotide ribosomal RNA is filed under the name uncultured bacterium. RNAcentral describes it as "bacterial SSU rRNA". It matches the Rfam family "Bacterial small subunit ribosomal RNA", at positions 338 to 640 of the family's 1533-position model. The record is from RNAcentral.
CCUACGGGGGGCAGCAGUGAGGAAUAUUGGUCAAUGGGCGGAAGCCUGAACCAGCCAAGUCGCGUGAGGGAUUAAGGCCCUAUGGGUCGUAAACCUCUUUUGUCAGGGAGCAAUGGCGUCCACGUGUGGGCGUAUGGAGAGUACCUGAAGAAAAAGCAUCGGCUAACUCCGUGCCAGCAGCCGCGGUAAUACGGAGGAUGCGAGCGUUAUCCGGAUUUAUUGGGUUUAAAGGGUGCGCAGGCGGCACGGCAAGCCGGCGGUCAAAUCGCGGGGCUCAACCCCGCCCAGCCGUCGGAACUGCCGGG